Podarcis raffonei (Aeolian wall lizard) is the source of this 4134-nucleotide long non-coding RNA. RefSeq lists it as uncharacterized. NCBI's taxonomy places the organism in Eukaryota, Metazoa, Chordata, Lepidosauria, Squamata, Lacertidae. The transcript has 2 exons. The record is from RefSeq and is a predicted model, not a curated record.
GGGAGCAGGGCAGCAGAAACAAGAGACACAUGGUUUUAUUUACUUUAUUAUUUUGUAAAUGUGAAUUUUACAAAGCAUUUUCAUCAUUAAUGAUCACAUUUUUCCAUGGAUUUUUCAUUAUAUGAAAAGCGCUACAACCAUACUUUGAACUCUUGGAAGGGGGCUUGUGAAGAAGAGACAUCUUGAAGCCACUCCCCCACGUUGCCCCCGCCCCCGCCCAGCCACCUGACACUGUUCUGAAUCUAUAGUGUUAGCCAUGGCUGUAACAGUCUCAAGCUGAGGGAUGGCACAUAAAUAACAAAGAGAAUAAACAAAACUUUGCGUGGCUGAAACAACUCCAAAGCACUUCAAAAUCUCCCCUAUUAGCGCUGGGAUUUUUAACUUUUCAUUUAUUUUUAACAGUCAUGAGUUACAGUACUACUGGGUACUCUUGAUAAAGACUCCAAGAGAAACCCUUUUGCUCUCUUAAGACUUUUCUCUCAGGCAGUUCAAAAGGAUCUGCACACAAUCUGAAUCAAGUGCAAUCCAAAGGUUCAAGUUAAACAUAUUUAUACAUUUUCUUGCUUAGCUAUGACUUUAUCAUUUUUGAGUCUUAAAAAUAGUAUUGCAAGGUUGGGCUCCCUCCCCUCCACCUCAGACAUAAAAGUGCAAAAAGGACGUUUGGAAGAAACAGAAGAUUGUAAGUUCUUCAGCAAGGACAACACAUGGGAUCCCUCUUUCCCUCCUCUCAUGCCAGCUUUGGCAGAGGCACAGAUUGCCUUGCUCCAAGGUGGGCACCCAGUGAAUUGACCACAACCCUUCAUGGGCAGCCACAGCAGCACUGUAACAGUGACACUGAAAGGCCUGGCCCUUUAAGACUGGUUAGGGAUCCCUUAAUGGCCACAGGAGAUAUGGUCAAAAUGCACAGCACAUAUCACAGGCUGCAUCAUUUGGACAGCUGUGGAAACUCUGCUGCUCAGGGAAGACAACAUCACAGAGAGGGCUUCUUCUCAGGCAAAGAUGAUUACAUGUAAAGCAGCCCGUCUCCCCCGGGCACCUUUCCCCCGGAGAGCACCAUGCCCAAACGGCUGUGCCCUUUUUAGGACUCCCCCCCGUCUCCUGCCCUGUCAGGUGGGGAUGGCACCAAUUUGCUUUUUCUCUUUGCAUGUAAUGCUGCAAGGAAGAAGAUGCAGGAAAGAGAAGUCACCAAGAGGGUCCCAAUUCCUCAGUGAUGGGAAGUACCAGGAAAGGUUGCCACACCAGGUGAGAAAACAGUCACAACCUUUUAUCCACCCUGGCAAAUCAGCAUCCUACAAAAAAAGCUAAACUUUCUAGCCAGGAUGCUUUCCAGCACUUAAUUAAAAUGAGAAAGAAGAAUUUCUUCAAUUAAGCAAAACCCAUUUCCAAACUGGAUUCCCAGGACAGGUAAGAAAAAGUGGGGAACAGCCAAACAUCUCUGGCAACUUGAGGGUUGAAUUAGUGGCCAUUUCAGUUGGAGCAAGAAGAGAAUAACUGUCAGGGAAGUCUCAGAGCAGACAAAAGGACAGGACUUAUGGCUUAACAUGGUCUCACCUUUGCAAUGAGAUCAGAUUUCUGGAAAAAAAAAAUCCGAGUCUUGUUUUUGGCUCCAAAUUUUGGUUUAGAGUGAAAAAAAAAAACCCUGGAAUUGCACACUUCUGAGCAAGGGUUAGGUAAAGAAACCUUGGAGAAGCCAGGCUAAUUUACAAAGCAACUGCAAUCUGGGGAUGUUUCCAUUGCAGAAAAGGAGGGGGUGGGAAUGUUGGUUCAAUUCUUAUACUAUGAUGUGGCAACCACUAAAUUCACUCGGUUUUCUCUCUCUUUAAAAAGGUGCUUGAUAUAACUUUUUAUAUAUAUAUAUAUAUAUAAUAUACACAUGUAAUAUUGCUAACAGUCAAGCAUUAAGAAUAGAGGUGCAGACAUACCAUAAAUACUUCUGCUUCCAUUUUUAUUUUUAAGAUCUAGAGGGAUGCCGUUUCCAUUUCACAUUAUGCAUCAUCACAGUCAGAAAGCAACUCCCAGACACUCUCGUGACAUUUCUAGCAUUAUUGUAAACAAAGAGGGGGAAAUCGGGGCGGGGGGCAUUCCUUCUGAUCUGGCAUUUCCCCCCCUCUCUGUCCCCUCCGCAUGGAAAACAAGUGAUCCAAAAAGGGCUAAGGCACUCAGGAAAUCCCGAUCAUUCUGGGCUUCAUUCUCACUUUACAUUCUUUUAUUUUGCGACAUUCUUCCUUCCCACCAGGGAGGAGACAAUCACGAUCCACAGAUACGUCUUGGAAAUCUGCCCUUAAGCCUCCACAUGCGGAUCUGGUUUAGUGCAAAUGCUCAUCCUCAUCAAGAAGACAAGGAAGGCCCCCCUCCCCAAAAACAAACCAUUCACAUUUUUUUCAAGUUUACCUAAAGCUCUCUCUCUCUCUCUUUUACUAGAAAGUAAAAACAAACAAAGAAACCCCAAAUAAAAAUGUACAUGAAAUUGUGCUCGGUAUAAAAAUAUAUCUUAACUGUGCAAUGCGACACUCUCUUCAGAUUCUUUUCUAAGCCAUUCAAGUAUUUUCUUUAUGUUCUGGUCAUUUCAUCAUGGGGCCAGGGGCAGGUGGAACAGCUCCUGGAUGCACUUUGUACCACCAUUAUUUUGGGUAGGGUAUCCAAUUGGAAGAGGAAAUGACCCAAGGUAAGAAAGGCAGUAAUCCUUUCAGUUUGAUACCAUCAUAUUUCAUGGACCCAAUCCCCCUUUACCACUGACUCAGGGAAAGAUACAGAAGGGGGGGGUCACUGCCCACAGAGCUGCCCCUACUCACUGGACCAUCUAGGGCAGAUCAUUACUCGACUGCUCACUCUGAUAACAAAGUUCUCAUUCACCUGCAAAUGCAGAAUUAGGCCCUUGAAGGUGUGGAGCCAAUGGCCUGAUUGAGCUGCAGCUACAGAGGCAUCCCAGGCCAGAAAAAGCCUGGAGACACAUUGGCUCAGCCUCCUGGUGCUUCUCCCCCUCCUCAAGGCCUCACCCAUCCACUUCACCAGUGCUCAGCUGGUUUUAAUCCUUUGUGGGGUGGCACUGGUACAGAUCAGGGACCACAGUUUUUUUUCUUUCAGGGCCCAGAAUGAAGUUUCAAAUAUUGGCCAAAGGCAAGGACUCCCUCCAAAGCCUCCAUGGUCACAUGGCAAAGGGAGGAACCCCCAGGAAGAGAGUAUACCCCCCCCCGCAACACCUCGUGCCAGUGGCUCCAGCGCAGAGCCUUACCUGGAGCUCAGAAAGUACCCAUUGCAGAGCUCUCAGAAGCUCCCACUGUCCUGAGCUUUCUGCACCUGAAAAAUCCCCCCAAACUCAGUCUGUCUCCCCUCCCCCCUCAAGAGCCUGCUCUUUGUGGUCCCUUCCCAGAAACCCACACAGGGAUCCUGCCUAGAAAAGCAGAGACAAACCCUUACAUCAAGGAGGGUUUGGGCUAGGAAUGGGGAGAGAUUCCUAAGCAGCACACCCUUCAUGGUGAAGCAUCUCCUCUCACGUUACCAGGUGGGGGCCUUCCAGUAACUCCUGUGUUUCAAUCAAGGUGACUGAAUCUUGGGAUAAACCAUUCUAGAACGCCUAAGGGGAUGGCUGCCAAGGACCCAUUUUGGAGUUGGAAAAGGGGCAGAUCCCAGAGCAAAAGCACCUUUCCCUUAUAGAACUGUGGAGAGGAAAGGGGCCCCCAAGGGUAAUCUAGGCAACCCCCUGCAACGGCCAUCCAACCAGAGACCAGAGAAGGGGCCUCUUUGCCCUUCCAUUUAUGAAAUAGCCCAGUUGGGCCAUGGUGGCUUCCCCCUACUCUCUCCUCUGCCACGCCUGUCCGACAUAUAUUAGGGGGAGGUGCUGAGUGCAGCAAAAAUGAGGCUGCUCUCCCCCUGACACACAACCACCCAAAAAGCAAGCUAGGCUGCCUGCCUGCUUCCCCAGCCCAGAUCCCACUCCAACCUGCUCUGCCUCUUGCACACAUGCUGGUUCUCCUUUGGCCAAAGUUCGCUCUGCACCCAACACCUUUCAGAUGUGAAAGUUGAGCUGUACCCCUCUAAGAAACACCCUACCAGACAAAGCAGCUCAAGCCAUCAGAACUGAAAAACUUGUUCUCAUAUUUUACAUGAGCCUUCUCAAAAAAAAAAAAAAAAAGA